CCUACGAGUGUCAGCAGUGAGGAAUAUUGGUCAAUGGGCGCGAGCCUGAACCAGCCAAGUAGCGUUAAGGAUGACUGCCCUACGGGUUGUAAACUUCUUUUAUAAAGGAAUAAAGUGAGGCACGUGUGCCUUUUUGUAUGUACUUUAUGAAUAAGGAUCGGCUAACUCCGUUCCAGCAGCCGCGGUAAUACGGAGGAUCCGAGCGUUAUCCGGAUUUAUUGGGUUUAAAGGGAGCGUAGAUGGGUUGUUAAGUCAGUUGUGAAAGUUUGCGGCUCAACCGUAAAAUUGCAAUUGAUACUGGCAGUCUUGAGUACAGUUGAGGUAGGCGGAAUUCGUGGUGUAGCGGUGAAAUGCUUAGAUAUCACGAAGAACUCCGAUUGCGAAGGCAGCUUACUAAACUGCCACUGACAUUGAUGCUCGAAAGUGUGGGUAUCAAACAGGAGUAGAUACCCGGGUAGUC
Molecule: ribosomal RNA, 460 nt
Filed under: uncultured bacterium
Lineage: Bacteria
Description: partial 16S ribosomal RNA
Rfam family: Bacterial small subunit ribosomal RNA
Source: RNAcentral